AACCUGAAGCCUGUGAAAAGGAGACCCCAAACACAGUAAGUUAAGCAAAAUGAGAAGAUAGAGAAACACACAGCAGAUGAAGGAGCAAGGUAAAAACCCACCAGACCAAAUAAAUGAAGAGGAAAUAGGCAGUAUACCUGAAAAAGAAUUCAGAGUAAUAAUAGUAAAGAUGAUCCAAAAUCUUGGAAAUAGAAUGGACAAAAUACAAGAAAUGUUUAACAAGGACCUAGAAGAGCUAAAGAGCAAACAAACAAUGAUGAACAACACAAUAAAUGAAAUUUAAAAUUCGCUAGAAGGAAUCAAGAGCAGAAUAACUGAGGCAGAAGAACGGAAAAGUGACCUGGAAGAUAAAAUAGUGGAAAUAACUACCACAGAGCAGAAUAAAGAAAAAAAAAAAAAAGGAAAGAA
Orcinus orca (killer whale) is the source of this 408-nucleotide long non-coding RNA. RefSeq lists it as uncharacterized. NCBI's taxonomy places the organism in Eukaryota, Metazoa, Chordata, Mammalia, Artiodactyla, Delphinidae. The record is from RefSeq and is a predicted model, not a curated record. The transcript has 2 exons.